This 537-nucleotide ribosomal RNA is filed under the name uncultured Geobacteraceae bacterium. Its description in RNAcentral is "bacterial SSU rRNA". It matches the Rfam family "Bacterial small subunit ribosomal RNA", at positions 9 to 526 of the family's 1533-position model. Lineage: Bacteria; Pseudomonadati; Thermodesulfobacteriota; Desulfuromonadia; Geobacterales; Geobacteraceae. The record is from RNAcentral.
GAGUUUGAUCCUGGYUCAKAACGAACGCUGGCGGCGUGCCUAACACAUGCAAGUCGAACGGGACGAGGGGCUUGCUCCUCAUUUAGUGGCGCACGGGUGAGUAACGCGUAGAUAAUCUGCCUGAUGAUUCGGGAUAACACCKCGAAAGGGGUGCUAAUACCGGAUAAGCCCACGGUUUCUUUGGAAUCUGCGGGAAAAGGGGGGGACCUUCSGGCCUUCUGUCGUCAGAUGAGUCUGCGUACCAUUAGCUAGUUGGUAGGGUAAUGGCCUACCAGGGCUACGAUGGUUAGCUGGUCUGAGAGGAUGAUCAGCCACMCUGGAACUGARACACGGUCCAGACUCCUACGGGAGGCAGCAGUGGGGAAUUUUGGACAAUGGGCGCAAGCCUGAUCCAGCCAUGCCGCGUGAGUGAAGAAGGCCUUCGGGUUGUAAAGCUCUUUCAGCCGGAAAGAAAUUGCUUCUAUUAAUACUAGGAGUAGAUGACGGUACCGGAAGAAGAAGCUCCGGCUAACUACGUGCCARCAGCCGCGGWAAUAC